This 465-nucleotide ribosomal RNA is filed under the name Vreelandella stevensii. RNAcentral describes it as "partial 16S ribosomal RNA". It matches the Rfam family "Bacterial small subunit ribosomal RNA", at positions 338 to 795 of the family's 1533-position model. The record is from RNAcentral. Lineage: Bacteria; Pseudomonadati; Pseudomonadota; Gammaproteobacteria; Oceanospirillales; Halomonadaceae.
CCUACGGUGAGCAGCAGUGGGGAAUAUUGGACAAUGGGCGAAAGCCUGAUCCAGCCAUGCCGCGUGUGUGAAGAAGGCCUUCGGGUUGUAAAGCACUUUCAGUGGGGAAGAAAGCCUUGGGGCUAAUACCCUCGAGGAAGGACAUCACCCACAGAAGAAGCACCGGCUAACUCCGUGCCAGCAGCCGCGGUAAUACGGAGGGUGCGAGCGUUAAUCGGAAUUACUGGGCGUAAAGCGCGCGUAGGCGGUCUGAUAAGCCGGUUGUGAAAGCCCCGGGCUCAACCUGGGAACGGCAUCCGGAACUGUCAGGCUAGAGUGCAGGAGAGGAAGGUAGAAUUCCCGGUGUAGCGGUGAAAUGCGUAGAGAUCGGGAGGAAUACCAGUGGCGAAGGCGGCCUUCUGGACUGACACUGACGCUGAGGUGCGAAAGCGUGGGUAGCAAACAGGAUUAGAUACCCCGGUAGUC